Long non-coding RNA from Chelonia mydas (Green sea turtle), 920 nucleotides. RefSeq lists it as uncharacterized. NCBI's taxonomy places the organism in Eukaryota, Metazoa, Chordata, Testudines, Cheloniidae. The transcript is spliced from 4 exons. The record is from RefSeq and is a predicted model, not a curated record.
CAGGCAAAGAAGAUUGUGUCCUGUGUAGGCUGCAACACUAUAGCACCUUAGACAGAGCAGUUCAGGCAGAAACCCAGGGAGUGAAAAAGGAGCUCUGGAAAGGCUGCUAGGGCGGAGUAGAGUGCUGUGGCCAUGGAGAAGUAGCCCAGGGAAAUGCAGCAGUAGUCGAGGCAAAGGAAUGCAGUAGGCAACUGCAGUUCAGAGGGUCCCUGGCUGGGACCUGGAGCAGUGGGUGAACCCAGGUCCCCCACACUCACCACUGGGGAAGUAACUGGACAGUUGACUGCAGAUCCCCCAGAAGGGGGGGGAAGCACAGAUAGUGACACAGUUGGAGGGCUGUCCCGUGAAAGGAAACUACAGUCCUUGGAGUGACGUGGGUCCGAGAGCAGACGUGAUGCACCAUUGGGAGAGGGCAUACCGACCUGUGGAGCUAAUCCUCCAGUAGGAGGUGCCACCAUGGAUGGGCUAGAUCUGUGGACAUUCUUACUCAAAGAAAAGAAUUUUUCAGGCAUUAUUAAUAAGAACAAGAUCCUGGAAGAGACCCUGGGAACACUGGCCAGACUGAAAGGUUAUAGAACUACAAAAUCUCAUCCUCUUCAACCUUAUUUUCUUCAAUAGAUUAGAAGAGAGAAAACAAGCUUUCCUUCUUUUUCAACUCCCAAUCAUUUUUUCAGCUUUGAACUAACUAUCAUAGAACGGAAAUUGUUAAACUGAAAUGAAGACAAUAUUCUCCCUGCACCUGCAAGAGACUACUGCUGUCAAAAACUGGCUUAGCAUUUCAACAAACUCUGCUGCUAGGUGCUUAGUUAGUGACUUCCACCAGUUUAGAAUUUGACAUUUCUAAAAAAAAGUUGGCAACAAACUUGCUGAAUUGAAUAUUAUAUUUUAUUUAAGAUUAUCUUAACCUGAGUAAAUUUAGG